AUUGAACGCUGGCGGCAUGCCUUACACAUGCAAGUCGAACGGCAGCACGGGUGCUUGCACCUGGUGGCGAGUGGCGAACGGGUGAGUAAUACAUCGGAACGUACCUUAUCGUGGGGGAUAACGCAGCGAAAGCUGUGCUAAUACCGCAUACGCCCUGAGGGGGAAAGCGGGGGAUCGCAAGACCUCGCGCGAUUAGAGCGGCCGAUGCCUGAUUAGCUAGUUGGUGGGGUAAAAGCCCACCAAGGCGACGAUCAGUAGCUGGUCUGAGAGGACGAUCGGCCACACUGGGACUGAGACACGGCCCAGCAUCCUACGGGAGGCAGCAGUGGGGAAUUUUGGACAAUGGGGGCAACCCUGAUCCAGCAAUGCCGCGUGAGUGAAGAAGGCCUUCGGGUUGUAAAGCUCUUUUGUCAGGGAAGAAACACCGGCUCUAACACAGUCCGGGAAUGACGGUACCUGAAGAAUAAGCACCGGCUAACUACAUGCCAGCCGCCGCCGUAA
Molecule: ribosomal RNA, 501 nt
Filed under: uncultured bacterium
Lineage: Bacteria
Description: partial 16S ribosomal RNA
Rfam family: Bacterial small subunit ribosomal RNA
Source: RNAcentral